Long non-coding RNA from Cyanistes caeruleus (blue tit), 2053 nucleotides. Lineage: Eukaryota; Metazoa; Chordata; Aves; Passeriformes; Paridae. The record is from Ensembl.
GCCGCGUCGGCAUCCAGGGCAGGGAGCCGCCGGCCCCGGCUCCGGACGGGGAGGCGCUGGCCCGGCCCGGCCCGGCCCGGCUCCGCUCGGGAAUGCCCCGGCAGGAAGGUGCCAGGGGUACCCGCAGCUCCGGGACUGUCGGGAACUCGCAGCUUGGCUCCCGCCCAUCGCGCUCGUCCCGCAGGGAAAAUCCCCGGCUCCGGAUCGGUAGCAGGGGUGAAACCUCCCAGAACGGGUCCCAAGGGCGCUGUGAAGGCUCUCGGUGCUGCAGCUUUUCUAUUCCAUUGGCAGAGAUUAUUUUACCUAGCCUUCAGGCGCGAUCAGAACUAAUGAACUCCCCGAGUUAAAGCUGCCCACGAUGCCCGUGCAGCCCUUGUCUGAGCAAGGGAAUCUUCUGAUUUCCCACUCUGAUCCAUGGGAAUUUAACACCCCUUCCCACUGGCACUGGAGAAUCCACAAAGCCGGCUCGCUUCCCUUUUGCUCCCUUGGUGCUUCAGGAUUACCAGGAAAAAGAAAUAAAGGCCCUUUAAAAAAUUGCACCAAAGAGGACUUGGCUGUUGGAGAGUUCCAGGGUUUCUCCUGCAAGGCAGUUUCUCUGAUUAGUUUUUCUCUGUCUUUAGAACAGAGAGUUGUGUUUAAGAGUAUUCCUCGUGGAGAAACAAACUGCGCUUUAGGAAACCUGGGAUCCAGAGGGGAAUGGAGACUCCCUUGGAUGUUUUGUCGAGAGCAGCAUCUCUGGUCCAUGCUGAUGAUGAGAAACUUGCAGAACUGGUCACUGUUUCGAGAGUUGCUCUCUGCUGAUGAUCUCCACGGGUGGAAUUUCAGCUCUCUCCCAUCUGUGGGGUUGAUUCUUGCUCAUUUUCCCCCUGGAAGAUGCUGUGGAGUGCAGGCACCAAAGACAUUUCAUUUUCUCAGGCUCUUCAGCACUGCCUGAGGCAGCAGCAGGUGUGAGAGGGUGGAGAAGGGAAGAGACAAAGAAAAAAGCAGCUCCCUGUGUGUUUGUAAUGCUCUAAAGUGCAUGUUCAAAUUCUCUGAAACCUGUAUAUAAACUCUCACUGUCAAAUCUGAUAUAUCACCAACUUGAUCCAUUAAAUUUUUUUUUCCCUGCAAAAAUCCAGGUGAACAAAUAAUACACAGUAGUAAGGAUUUCUUUUUAUAUUAAGCCCUGUUAUUGACAGUGGUGAUUUCCCUUCUCUUUUUGCUUUCCUUGCUUUGUUUUUUGUGCCUGAGGUGGUAAGAGAUUGCAGUGUGCAGACUGAAUUUGCUUUCUGUGUUGAGGUGAAGCAGAUCCCUGGGAGGCCGGAGCCUGUGCCCUGCUCUGUGGGAUAACUGGGAUAAAAUGCCAUGGGAAUCCCAGCGGAGCCCGAGGCUGUCCCGGUACCUCUAGAGGCUGCUGUUGUGUUAAAGUUCAGGGCUGGGAUUCUCUGCCAGGAGCAGCGAGUGUGCAAUCCUAGAGGAAAUACUCCAGACAAUGAGAGGCAGAGGUACCUCAGCACGGGGCUGUGUUUGCAGCUACCAGGAUAUAGAAGGAACUGAUGAAAAAUUGCCUUUUCCCCCCACUGAUUAUUGGUUUCAGUUCAGUGGAGGAUGUCCCAGAUGAGCAGCAAAAUUGAGAAUUUGCUAGCAGGAACCAAGUGCUUUACAGUGACCCUGUCAGUAUUUGAGGCUGAUGUCUGCUGGACAUGGGUUUGUUGAGCUGAUAAAAUUUUCUAUCAAAGAAAGUUUUCCUAAGGAAAAUGGAUUCUGGGUUUAAAAUGCAAUAUAAAAAAUGUGUUUUCAUUGAUAAUCCCCCCCCACCCUUUCACUGGGCAUUGCUUUGUUUUCAGCAUAGGUAUUUUAAUUUAGGAGUUCAAGAAGCUCUUGGUGUUUGGUACAGUUUAUUAUUAUUUAUUGUGAAGCAUGUUCAUUAUGCAACAUUUGACAAGUCCAAUCAGAGUUUGUAAUGAAAUGCUGAAAGCCAUUCACCUAACAGGGAUCAUUACUGCCUAAAAACCUGUACACCAGUGACUACUGCUUUAAUAAAGAAGAAUUAACUCCUUUAUUAGUGUCUGGA